Aegilops tauschii subsp. strangulata is the source of this 3966-nucleotide non-coding RNA. Lineage: Eukaryota; Viridiplantae; Streptophyta; Magnoliopsida; Poales; Poaceae. The record is from RefSeq and is a predicted model, not a curated record.
GCGGUCCUUCAAAAAACGCAUCACCCUUCAUCAUCCGCACGCAAGAUCCCCUUCAUCCUCCCCAGGCACGAGCGGGCGCACCCCUGCCGGCGGCGCCGCCGCCUUCCUCGUGGAGUCCGCGGCCAAAUUCCACGCCGGGAGCAGCGGUCUCCAUCUCUCCAACUCCUCCCUCUCCCUCGAGCCUCGACCUCCCCGGCAACCUUCCUCCCCUCCCAAGUCCAGGAGACGCAUGGGGGCGGCGGCGGCGAGGCCCCCUCACCAUGGCUAGGGUUUCGGGCGCCUCCAUACUGGCAUGGCUCCGGCGCCUCUGGCCGCUCCUCUCCGACGCCCACCACGCCCCCACACGCAGCUCCUUCUCUAGGAUGAUGCUCCUCCUCCCGGUGGCCAUGGGAUGUGUAGGGCAAGGAUUGGAUGUUUGAGGAAGGAGGGGUCGACCUUGCCUUGCUGCAGCUCGGGACGCAACACCCAUGGAGCUUCCUCCUUUCUGUCUUCAGGGAGCUGCUACUGAAAGAUGAAAAAAAAUGGUACUGUUUGAGGUCCAUGUGCCUCCCGUGCUCACCAACUUGCUACUGUUUGAGCUCAUUUUUUGGUAUGUUAAUUGAUCCGUGCUCUGUUGCAUCCCACCCUCCCCCCCCCCCGGCGACGGUAGCCAACACUGCGCUUCCUUCUCAGAUUUUUCUGCUGCAUGUUGCAGGUGUGUUUGAGGCAUCGACAAGCGACGACAGGGUUCGACAUUGGUUGAGCUAGCUACUGGGGACGCCUCUUUCUCAAUUAUCUCUAUCUCCGUCUCUAUCAUGAUAUUUAGAAGCCAUCUAUUAAUGUCGUCGAUGCCUAAUUCCAAAAUCCCGUCUCGCUCGCUCUCGAUACCCCGUCCCUCUCUAGAGUUACGGGAUGCGCCGCCGCCACCAGCAUGGUCCCAACGGCCACCGUGAGUCUCCCCGGUCGACGUCCCCAUCCGUCUAUGCUCCGAGCUCGACGGUUCCAGUAAGACAAUAGACAAUGGUGACAGUGAGGUGACAUUUCGUAGUGCUGUCGAUGUCAAGUAUGUCGAAAAUUGUUGUCUUUUUAUUUCUCAUUUACUUAUUUAUUUCACAUUUACUUAGCCAACUUAUUUUACUACCUGGGGUGUUCUGUAGUUUUGUUUCUAAAACAGAUUGCGUUUUGUUUUGUUCUGGAGUGUUGGUACUGAUGCAUAAAACUACUGCAUCUAAAAUGGCAUGGUAUUAGUAUUUUUAGUUUUAAAAGAAUGCCACUUGCCUUAAGCUCUCAGUAAAUCAAAAUAUGUACUGACGUUAUCUACACUUGAAUAUUGUAUUUUAUCAACACUUGAAUAUGCAUUAUGAUUUAGUGCACAUUCAACAAAUAGUCAAUGGAUCAGUAUUUUCCGGAAACUUUCUAUUCCAUAUGAAGUUAUGUUUUCAGCUUGAUAUAUUAAUAAUAUUUUUACCAUGUUUCUUGUAAAUGUCUAUUUGAGAACUUUGCAGCUAAAUUGGUGCCUGUAUAUUAUAGAAGACACUUGAAAAUGGAUUCAGCAUGGUUCCUGCAGUCCCAACUUUUCAUUGUUGACUUCACGUCAAAAAACAAUUAUUCAUCAUGGGCAGAGUCAUGGUUGUUCGUGACUAUGCAAGAAGAUGAUCGAGGGUCGGCGGCGUCGCUGCUUCGUCGUCAUCUUUGACGAGCACCGUCCAACACAAUUUUCCGCUGGCAUGUUCCAUGGAAUGUCACUCUUUCAUCAUGGCAUCCAACACUUGCAGAUGUGACUUAAAAGGGGGUUCUGAAGCUGAUGAACUUGGAUGGCCUGACAGUCUAACAUACCAACAACCAUCUCCAAAUACACGAACUUGAAGAAUUUCUUAGUUUCAUACACACCUUCAGAAUUUUUUUUCCAGUAAAGAUCAGGGUGCCAGCAGUGUUUCCAUUAUGUUUCAGGAGAAAUUUGGAUCUUUUUGGACAGUUAUUCCAGCCAACUUUCUGAAUGAGUAUAAAAACAACACUAUGAGUACAAAGAGGAGAUAAAAGGAGUAUUGGAAAGCUUAAAACCAGCCCCCCGAAACCACUCUGGCUCGAGAAAGAAGAAAAUAUUUCACAUGAUCUGUCCGAUCUACUACAGGUAAUUUGGUCUUCUCUUGUGCACAACCAUCACAACCAAGCCGGGGAGUGCCAGAGGUCACAACUUGAAAUUUUUAACUGCAAUAUUUGUUGGUCAGUGUCCUCCUCUAAAAUUGUUCGUAAGGUAAUGCUUUAUUCUGUAUAGCAUCCUUGGAAGAUUGUGUGGUGUGAUGCUUUAUUUAUAAAGCGGGGCGUAGAGCCCUUUUCGUUAUUCUGUAGAGCAAAGAGAAAGAGCCUCAGUUUGGUAUAGCAAUGGAGUGAUCCUUCGUUGGAAGAAACAUUGGUGUGAAACAGAUAGACUUACUGUUUUUUUAUACUAGCAUAGUGUUGGUUGUUAAUUUUAAGUGUACCAUCAGUUUUUUCAACCAAUGAAGUUAUGCUCACGACAUGGAGAACUUCAAGGACAACCUGCCUGAACAGUUUCUACCUGAUUAGUGAACUAGGCCAUUUACUAUACAGAUAGUUAUUUUUGUUGCAAGUUACGCCCGUUGCUUCUAAAUACUGCACUUUUGGUUGCAUUUUGCAACUAAGAAUAAUAAGCAGACGCUAAAACAUUCGAGCAAUGCCCAAGGUUAGUACAGGAAGCAUAGUAGUUUGCUUUCGUAGAAAUUAUAUUCCUUUUUUCCACUACUGUGAACAUGGACGUGAGUAGGUAAUUGCUCCUAAAAGAAACCUAAUUAAUGUAUUGUUGAACCUAAUUUUGAGAUGAUUUUUAUUCUACCAUUAUACAGUGCACAUCAGCAUCGUCUAAAUACAUAUGCCUCUGGGGUUUUCUUUUUGGUGGCAAAUUGAUUCUUGCAAUCAUAGCGGAAAGGUCAGCAGUAAGGCACUUUACACUGAUGAAAUUUGCAUAAGUAUUCCUCUUUGUGAUAAGAUUUCACCAAAAGUUUCAACAUUAAGAUGUUUACUUAGUUAAAUCCUGAACUAAGGCACCCACCCAUACAUGUAUAAGCGCCAGAAAAUAAAACAAUAUGCAAAGAAUUUUUCAGCUUUCGGGCUAUAAGUGUUAGACAUUUUCAUAAGAAAUGCUGAAUGUUAGUAUCAAUUGAAUCAAUUUGACCUUACACGCAGCGCAGGUACUGUUAAAUCUGUAGUUGUAAUUUAUUCACCUGUAACUUGAUUUUCUUUUCACUUCUCUUUUUAUAAAGUCAUGUAGUCGGCUAUAAUAAUCAUAUUUUUUUUCUUUUUAGAGAGAAAUUGUGUGUCUGCUCUGGUUUCAGUUUUAACGUCAGCUCGUUACAAUCCGUAACUACUUAUAGACUACUUCAUCCGGAUGGGUUUGCAACUUUGUGUACAGUCUGCUUCAACACUUCUAUUUUCUAUAUGACUUGGAUUAAUAAUCUCCAACAGUAUGGUCAUGCUUUUUAUAUUUACUUUCAGUUCUAAAUACAUUUGUGCUUUUCUCUUUGUUGUACUACUAAACUAUGUGUGCUAAACUAAACAUAAAAAUAUGAUGGGGUGGUGGUUUCAGCCACAGAAAGAAUUGUUUUGGAGAACAAAGGGAAUUUUCGGCGGACGAAGAACUCGCUCCAGAUGCUCCAGUGAUGAUUUUAUAUAGCGUUUUAUCUAAACCUGGGUUCCUUCUUUUAGACUGGGCGGUGCCAUAUGAUGUGAAGCCGGUAUAAUAACUUUUUCAUUUGGCAUCGGUUGUGAGGUGGCAACCUUUUAGACAAUUUGACACCUGUAACACAGUGGAAGACCUCAUACGAGAUGGUUGCCUUCUUGAUAGUUGUUGCGGCUUCUGAAUUAAGUGUACCACUAUGUUUAAAACACCAUGAUCAGAAGCUUUGGUGGGUGUACCGAUUGACUCUUAUUACAUGACUAUUUCUAAGAUUGAUUCUUAUUGGGUUAGGGGCA